Long non-coding RNA from Hippocampus comes (tiger tail seahorse), 1511 nucleotides. RefSeq lists it as uncharacterized. The record is from RefSeq and is a predicted model, not a curated record. The transcript has 2 exons. NCBI's taxonomy places the organism in Eukaryota, Metazoa, Chordata, Actinopteri, Syngnathiformes, Syngnathidae.
AUAUGAGAACCUACCUUACAGGCAUAUAUUCUUUAUCCUCUGCGAAAAAUGACUAAUAUUACUGCAGCUUAGUUGUGACAGUCUUGCCUGAAAGCAUGAACUCAUGAUGCAAGGACCGAUUCAUUAUUUCCAUCCAUCCAUUGUCCAAUCUGCUUUAUCCUCACAAGGGUCGUGGGCGUGCUGGGGACCAUCCCAGCUGCCUUCAGGCAGUGUGCGGGCGAGACAACGCAAAAGCUGAGUUAAAAGAAGCCGGAACUUGAGAAGAGAGCAAAUGACUUAAUUUUCGAUGGUUUCGUAUGGGACGAUGAGUCUGGGACAGAUACAAAGGUGGCUUUACGAGCCCUUUGUUGGCUUUGCUCACGACGGGAAUGAAUUACCAGAAGGAACGAGCAACUUUGCGGAGGCUUGUACUUGAUAUCGGCAGGCGUGCUUGGACAAGUUUGGAUAGGCCCGAUCUUAGGUGCUCACAAAGGUUCAUCUGGAUGAAGGGGCGAACAUUCCUCCACACUUUAUUCUCAAAGAUGUUGAGAAAACAAUCGGGAUGUGCUUUUUGUCUUCCAUCCAUCCAUUUUUUAAUCGGCUUAUCCCCACGAGGGUCGCGGGUGUGCUGGAGCAUAUCCCAGCCAUCUUCGGAACUGGUUGCCAGCCAGUCACAGGACACACAUUAACGAACGACCAGAGUCACACCUAGGCGCAAUUUAGACUGUUCAAUUAGCCUGCUAUGCAUGUUUUUGGAAUGUGGGAGGAAACCGGAGAAAACCCACAUCCAUCAAAUUCCAAAUCUCAGCCAAACAAACUGGAGUAGAAACAGGACAGUGCUACAGUAUGCUACAUUUGUUUUUUUAUUUUUUUUGGGGGGGGGGGGGUUAAUGAUCAAACUUGAUAAUGAUCUAUAGCUAAUUAAACCAGUUGAUUCAACUCUGUUUUACAUAUAAAUUAAGUUUGAGGAAAUAUUUAAAUUUUGGGAAGUACACAAAAGUAGGAUUAUUUUCCACCAAAUUGUCAUCUACCCGAAUGAAGUGGGGCAAUUUUCCACUUGCCCUCAUGCAAAAUUGAUCAUGAUAAAUUUUGGCCACCGAUGGAAUGUAAGCAAGCUUGCUGACACAAGACGACAAAUUCAGACCACCAUUCUUUUUUUUUUUUUAAUUUAAAGCUUUCUGUCGCCUUCCCUUGAACCAAGUGAGCAACGACUCAGCAUUUUUUUUUUGACAUCCUGUAAAAUCUCAAGGUCAACACAUCUAAAAUAAUUUGUCAAGUUUCACCGCAAGCGUGAAACCGCAUUUUAUUUCGAAGGGGAUUUUCACAAGCUAAACCCUUUCCGCUUUUCCUUUUUGCUCUUUGUCAGAGGCUGCCUGCACAUUUUCCUCACACGCAAGGACAGAUUCAAUUACAAAAGCAGAGAGAAAAAUGAGCUCUGCAAUAGAAAAAAAAAAAAAAGAAAAACGUCGGAAAAUUCAGACUGGUGGGAGAAAAUGCCAGAUAGACAUGAUUAAAGAGUAUAAAAAAAAAAA